Molecule: transfer RNA, 72 nt
Organism: Vitrella brassicaformis
Lineage: Eukaryota; Vitrellaceae
Rfam family: tRNA
About the family: Transfer RNA (tRNA) molecules are approximately 80 nucleotides in length. Their secondary structure includes four short double-helical elements and three loops (D, anti-codon, and T loops).
Source: Rfam
GUCGGGGUAGAUCAGUGGAAGAUCGUUCGCCUAACACGCGAAAGGUCCCCGGAUCAAAACCGGGUCUCGAUA